This 253-nucleotide ribosomal RNA is filed under the name uncultured bacterium. RNAcentral describes it as "partial 16S ribosomal RNA". It matches the Rfam family "Bacterial small subunit ribosomal RNA", at positions 524 to 776 of the family's 1533-position model. The record is from RNAcentral.
UACAGAGGGUGCGAGCGUUAAUCGGAAUUACUGGGCGUAAAGCGCACGUAGGCGGCUUGGUAUGUCGGGUGUGAAAUCCCCGGGCUCAACCUGGGAACUGCAUCCGAAACUGCCUUGCUCGAGUAUGGGAGAGGGAAGUGGAAUUCCAGGUGUAGCGGUGAAAUGCGUAGAUAUCUGGAGGAAUACCGGUGGCGAAGGCGGCAUCCUGGACCGGCAUUGACGCUGAGGAGCGAAAGCCAGGGGAGCAAACGGG